UGCACUUGGAAAAGUUAAUGUUAUGAAGAAAAUGGACCUCUGAUGUGCUUGGGGAACAUGCCAUUCUGAUGAAAGAUAUCCUGCUAAGUUACAAGGGGCCCAGUUGAUUCAUUUUCCAAAGCCUAAAGCCCAGUUGAGGAAGUGUCUAGCAUGGAUUGAGGCCCGUGGAAAAGCACGCGUACAUCUAAGUGUGGACAAUAUCAACAAACAAGGCUGUAUUUUCGAAGAAACCGUUACGGCAAGAAGUGUGCUUUGAUCGACAAUAUCGAAACAAAUGGAGCACACAACUGUGGGCGUCGGUACAGACAUCCUCCACUAUCUCCUCUUCCCGACAAGCGCUUAUACAGUGGAGCAACUAAAGAAUUACAAAGGUCUGGAGGCCGACAACCAAUUCAUCAAUGGCUGGGUUCGUCAUGCGGCGUUAUCCAUUGGAAGCACACUGCUAAGAUGGCGAACACCGAGCAGCCACAGGGAGUCCAGACCAUUGACUUCACUUCAGACAUCAAACAAGGCUUCAAAAUAAAAUGCCACAGCAAAAGAAGGAGGAUGCAGUGCACAUGUAAAGUCAAAUAUUUAUUGCAAGCAUUGGUAUUGCAGACGGUAAGUGCCUGAACUACAUCACUACAAAUAACCGGCAGAGGAUAUUUGUAUCCAACAGAACCAGACGGAGAGGCAGACCACAGUAGAGACAACGGUCCCACUUUUCCCACCUCCCAUCUGUCAGCUGAAUUCUCUCUUACAUGUACUCCACCUGCUUCCUGAAAACAGCCCCCACCCUCAAAAACACCCUCAUCCCGUCCCUUCACUUACCACUACAGACGUGGAUGUGAGAUGUGGUCUCUCGCGCUCAGCCAAAGAAACUGAUACUGUAUAUAACUUCCCUGAGUGUAUUUUUGGCUUCUCUUUUACCCUCCCUCCUCUCAUAAUGUCACACAUAAAAGGACAUCAUCUGUAUGAAAUGCUCUCAAGUAUAACCUGCCCUGAAUAAAUCCUGAAUACUGAUAAUCGGGCCAAAUUUGAGUGUUAUUUUUUUUCUCUCUUCCGAUCAGUCAGAAAGGUCCGAUAAUCAAAUGUCUGCGCAAUAUCGUCCUCCUGAAUGAUUAUCCUGGUGUAUGUGUUGUGUUAAGAAUGA
Syngnathoides biaculeatus (alligator pipefish) is the source of this 1132-nucleotide long non-coding RNA. RefSeq lists it as uncharacterized. The record is from RefSeq and is a predicted model, not a curated record. Lineage: Eukaryota; Metazoa; Chordata; Actinopteri; Syngnathiformes; Syngnathidae. The transcript has 3 exons.